This is a non-coding RNA of Hordeum vulgare subsp. vulgare (domesticated barley), 135 nucleotides long. The record is from Rfam. Lineage: Eukaryota; Viridiplantae; Streptophyta; Magnoliopsida; Poales; Poaceae.
GUGAUAUUCCCUCUGGUUCCAAUUACUUGUCUUAGAUUUGUCUAGAUGCGGAUGUAUCUAACACUAAAACAUGUCUAGAUAAAUUCAUAUCUAGACAAAUCCAAGACAAGUAAUAUGAACCGGAGGGAGUACAAA